RNAcentral lists this ribosomal RNA (396 nucleotides) under uncultured bacterium. Its description in RNAcentral is "bacterial SSU rRNA". It matches the Rfam family "Bacterial small subunit ribosomal RNA", at positions 30 to 428 of the family's 1533-position model. The record is from RNAcentral.
AUUGAACGCUGGCGGCAUGCCUUACACAUGCAAGUCGAACGGCAGCACGGACUUCGGUCUGGUGGCGAGUGGCGAACGGGUGAGUAAUGUAUCGGAACGUACCUUUCAGUGGGGGAUAACGUAGCGAAAGUUACGCUAAUACCGCAUAUUCUGUGAGCAGGAAAGCAGGGGAUCGCAAGACCUUGCGCUGAUUGAGCGGCCGAUAUCAGAUUAGCUAGUUGGUGAGGUAAAGGCUCACCAAGGCGACGAUCUGUAGCGGGUCUGAGAGGAUGAUCCGCCACACUGGAACUGAGACACGGUCCAGACUCCUACGGGAGGCAGCAGUGGGGAAUUUUGGACAAUGGGCGCAAGCCUGAUCCAGCCAUGCCGCGUGAGUGAAGAAGGCCUCGGUUGUAA